UAUAUUUAAUUUUCCAGUACUCCCCAUGUGUGGAUUAAGAGAGAGAGAGGAACCGACCUAUUUCAUUUUUCCUUCUUAAAAAAAAGAUAGAGUUGUGUUUCCUCCCUCCAAAACCUUCUUCCUCCUCCAUCUCCAUUCUCCACAACCCAAAUUAAAGAAGAUGACAAUAUUCAUGUUCCUAAUCAUCUCACCUCUCUAAUCAACCAAUUAGAUGUUUGUUUUGAGAAACCUCGCCAUCGACCACCAUUCUUCUUUUUCCGGCAGCCGCAGUUGAAAACGAAGGUUGAGAGACAUUUUCAAGCCCUCGUUAGUUCAAGCUCUUUGACUAACUAAAUAGAUUUUGAUUCGAGUACUUUGCGUCGUUUUCUUCUUCUCCACCGCGAGACACUGCGCCGGAUUCUUCUCAGGCAGCUGCAGGUUCACCUUCUCUUAGGCGUUUUUCAAUGGCUCUAUUUUACUAGUAUGGGAUGGUUAAUCAUUUAUCAACUGGUUAUUGUUAUACUUUCAGCUUGCAAAAUGAUUGGAAGUUUUUGUUGAUGAUAUUUUUUCUUAAGAUUUGGCCAUGAGAUGGUGACUUCAAAUAGCUAAGGAGUUGAAAAUGUAGAGAUUAUUGUUGUGCAUUCACUUUGUACACUUUCUGGUUUUGUUUUGAAUUUAGGUAGAUUGUUGUGAAUUUGUGAUGCAACAAGUUCUAAUAUUGUUUACUAUAUUCAUGGUUACUUUAAGUUCUUGCAUUAUUUUGUAGCUUGUUGUUUCUUUUUUAUAACAAUUAAUAAAAAAGAAGUUAUAGUUGUUCUGGAUGAAA
Molecule: long non-coding RNA, 805 nt
Organism: Lathyrus oleraceus (garden pea)
Lineage: Eukaryota; Viridiplantae; Streptophyta; Magnoliopsida; Fabales; Fabaceae
Exons: 2
Source: RefSeq, a predicted model, not a curated record